Non-coding RNA from Mycena vulgaris, 113 nucleotides. Lineage: Eukaryota; Fungi; Basidiomycota; Agaricomycetes; Agaricales; Mycenaceae. The record is from the annotation of a GenBank genome assembly.
GGGCACAUGGUGUAGUUGGUUAUCACGCUCGCUUAGCAUCGUAACACGUGAUGUGGUUAGCUCACGUGACCGUUGAAUGCGAGAGGUGUUGGGUUCAAUUCCCAAUGUGUCCA